Molecule: long non-coding RNA, 203 nt
Filed under: Lathyrus oleraceus (garden pea)
Lineage: Eukaryota; Viridiplantae; Streptophyta; Magnoliopsida; Fabales; Fabaceae
Description: Pisum sativum (pea) long non-coding RNA (PSAT_LNC037894)
Source: RNAcentral
UUUUCUUUGGACUCAUUCAGCUCUUUGUUUCUCCAAUCAUCACAUGUAAUGGGAAUUUCAUUCCUUACUAGUGCACCGAUAAAACUAGUUAAGGUAUGCCCAUUAGGUUCUAUAAGCUGUCCCUGGUUGCUCCAAUAGACAUCUAGUAUGAUGCCUCGAGAUCUUCCUUGGACCACCCUUCUCAUUACUGUGAUGCCUCUUCG